Molecule: small RNA, 412 nt
Filed under: Histoplasma ohiense
Lineage: Eukaryota; Fungi; Ascomycota; Eurotiomycetes; Onygenales; Ajellomycetaceae
Description: hypothetical lncRNA
Source: RNAcentral
ACAUCUGAGGUACUUGAAAACCACGAACCACUAAUCGAAUCCAAUUUUUCGAUUUAGGCGACCAAAUACCCUCAUUCAAAAGACUUUGACAAUUUGACCGAGUUGGAUGGUCCAGGGGGGGGGGUGUAUUGUUGUAGAGUGGGGAGCUUUCAUAUCCCCUCUCUUCACUCUCCCACUUCUGGUCUAAUUUUUUCCAAAUUUAUAUGUGAAAGAGAUCCAUCUAAUUUAUUCUAUUUUGGAAAUUUCCUGACUCUAAUUUGUUGAGUUGUUCAUGCAUUUGUCUUGAUGAAAACUCAGAUUGAACUCAGUGUUCUAAGUCACCAGUUGUCAAGUUCUGUUUCUGUUAGACCUCAAGGCGUGAAAGAAAAUUGAGCUUAAAAGCUGUGCUAAAUAGAGAAUCCACCGUUUAGCC